This 71-nucleotide transfer RNA is filed under the name Corytophanes cristatus. RNAcentral's name for it is "tRNA-Ile". It matches the Rfam family "tRNA". From Rfam's summary of the family: Transfer RNA (tRNA) molecules are approximately 80 nucleotides in length. Their secondary structure includes four short double-helical elements and three loops (D, anti-codon, and T loops). Further hydrogen bonds mediate the characteristic L-shaped molecular structure. tRNAs have two regions of fundamental functional importance: the anti-codon, which is responsible for specific mRNA codon recognition, and the 3' end, to which the tRNAs corresponding amino acid is attached (by aminoacyl-tRNA synthetases). tRNAs cope with the degeneracy of the genetic code in two manners: having more than one tRNA (with a specific anti-codon) for a particular amino acid; and 'wobble' base-pairing, i.e. permitting non-standard base-pairing at the 3rd anti-codon position. Lineage: Eukaryota; Metazoa; Chordata; Lepidosauria; Squamata; Corytophanidae. The record is from RNAcentral.
GGAAAUGUGCCCGAACAUUAAGGGUUACUUUGAUAGAGUAAAACAUAGAGGUUAGAAUCCACUCAUUUCCU